GCCGAGGUGGUGAAACUGGCAGACACGUAUGCCUUAGGAGCAUAUGGGGUAAAACCCUUGGAGGUUCGAGUCCUCUCCUCGGCA
RNAcentral lists this transfer RNA (84 nucleotides) under Candidatus Dojkabacteria bacterium. RNAcentral's name for it is "tRNA-Leu". It matches the Rfam family "tRNA". From Rfam's summary of the family: Transfer RNA (tRNA) molecules are approximately 80 nucleotides in length. Their secondary structure includes four short double-helical elements and three loops (D, anti-codon, and T loops). Further hydrogen bonds mediate the characteristic L-shaped molecular structure. tRNAs have two regions of fundamental functional importance: the anti-codon, which is responsible for specific mRNA codon recognition, and the 3' end, to which the tRNAs corresponding amino acid is attached (by aminoacyl-tRNA synthetases). tRNAs cope with the degeneracy of the genetic code in two manners: having more than one tRNA (with a specific anti-codon) for a particular amino acid; and 'wobble' base-pairing, i.e. permitting non-standard base-pairing at the 3rd anti-codon position. The record is from RNAcentral. RNAcentral also lists the same sequence under 1 other name.